AGUAAAACGAACUCUCAAGUUUGACAGUUGGCAGGUGUAUCCGGCUGAUUUUCAAAUUACACGCUACCAUAGAUAUAAAUCUGAUUUUCCAAUAACGCGUUGAAAUCCUAUUUUCUUUUACUUCUCAGAAUCCUCGCGAAAAUUAAAGGAGUUUCCCGACUUCUCGCGAAGAUUUUGAAAAAAAAAAAGACGCAACGAAUCGUUGAUUUUUUGGGCUUUCGCAAAUUUCGUCGAAAGAAAUCUAAAAAAUAAACAAAAUCAUGGCGACGACGCGACAACGAUGACAAGGAAGCGAGGGGUUACGGAGACGAAAUCUACGAAGAUCCGAAUCUCGGUUCUGGCUAGAAAUUCGAGGAGACUUGAUUGCUCGCAUCGUGUGCAGGGUGAGAAGCUGCAGCAACGAGGCGAACAGAUUUGAUUCAUGUACAACAUACGGAGCUAUACAUAAGCGCUUACGAAUAACUAACGUCAAAUCAAAACGCACCUAGACUCAUAGCGCAGUUGGUACACGUCUAUAGUUAUACAUAGACUGCACAACGCGGGCGACUAACGUUCGGGAUUAGCUGGAGGGCGUGAUCCUCGGUUUCGGAUUCGCAUCGAACAUCGUCGCCCAAGGUCGCGUCGGGUGACAGUGAGACAAAAAAAAAAAAAAAUGAUUCUCGGAAUUGAAAAAAUCAAUAAAAAUCACACUCGG
Long non-coding RNA from Athalia rosae (coleseed sawfly), 694 nucleotides. RefSeq lists it as uncharacterized. NCBI's taxonomy places the organism in Eukaryota, Metazoa, Arthropoda, Insecta, Hymenoptera, Athaliidae. The transcript is spliced from 2 exons. The record is from RefSeq and is a predicted model, not a curated record.